AGUCGAGGGGCAGCAUGGGAGUACAAUACUUCUGAUGGCGACCGGCGCACGGGUGCGUAACGCGUAUGCAACCUACCUGUAACAGGGGGAUAACACUGAGAAAUCGGUACUAAUACCGCAUAACACUAUGAGAGGCAUCUCUUGUGGUUGAAAGUUUCGGCGGUUACAGAUGGGCAUGCGUUGUAUUAGCUGGUUGGUAAGGUAACGGCUUACCAAGGCGACGAUACAUAGGGGGACUGAGAGGUUAACCCCCCACAUUGGUACUGAGACACGGACCAAACUCCUACGGGAGGCAGCAGUGAGGAAUAUUGGUCAAUGGACGGAAGUCUGAACCAGCCAUGCCGCGUGCAGGAAGACGGCUCUAUGAGUUGUAAACUGCUUUUGUACAAGGGUAAACCUGAAUACGUGUAUUCAGCUGAAAGUACUGUACGAAUAAGGAUCGGCUAACUCCGUGCCAGCAGCCGCGGUAAUACGGAGGAUCCAAGCGUUAUCCGGAUUUAUUGGGUUUAAAGGGUGCGUAGGCGGAUUGAUAAGUUAGAGGUGAAAUGUCCGAGCUUAACUCGGGAACUGCCUCUAAUACUGUUGAUCUAGAGAGUAGAUGCGGUAGGCGGAAUGUAUGGUGUAGCGGUGAAAUGCUUAGAGAUCAUACAGAACACCGAUUGCGAAGGCAGCUUACCAAUCUAUAUCUGACGUUGAGGCACGAAAGCGUGGGGAGCAAACAGGAUUAGAUACCCUGGUAGUCCACGCAGUAAACGAUGAUAGCUCGUUGUCGGCGAUACAC
RNAcentral lists this ribosomal RNA (781 nucleotides) under uncultured bacterium. RNAcentral describes it as "bacterial SSU rRNA". It matches the Rfam family "Bacterial small subunit ribosomal RNA", at positions 60 to 834 of the family's 1533-position model. The record is from RNAcentral.